RNA transcript from Cicer arietinum (chickpea), 2618 nucleotides. It is a transcript of the gene named acidic leucine-rich nuclear phosphoprotein 32-related protein, with no coding region annotated. The record is from RefSeq and is a predicted model, not a curated record. NCBI's taxonomy places the organism in Eukaryota, Viridiplantae, Streptophyta, Magnoliopsida, Fabales, Fabaceae.
CAGUAGAAGAUAGAGAGAGAAAAUUAUAAAAGAGAGCUAGAGAGAGAAUCACCAAAAUCUGCAAAAACCAGUGUCUUUGAAAUUCCACACUACAAAAUUUCAAUCCUUUCGUUCCCUUUCCAACAACCGUUGAUUUCAAUUUUCAAUCUCGUUCGUUAUCAUUCCCAUAGGUGAAAACACGUUAGGGUUCCGUUAGAACUUCGUAAUAACUUAUUCAUAGAAGCACUUUCAAAAACGAAUUUCUUCUUCGUUUUAAUUCUUGUGUUAAAUUUAAGGUGAAAUACGAAGCGCGUGUUGUUUCGUUUUGCGGUUUUGUAUGAGAUAUAGGAUAUCGUAUUUGAUGGAUGAGAUCUGGGAAAGAGCCGUUGAAACGGCGUUAGAAGGCGAAAAGGAUCACGCUUCCGCUAAAACGCUAACACUUGACGGCGCCGUUAAGUGCGUUCAAGGACGGUUACCACCACCGAGCCUUCUAGAAAGAUUCCAGAACCUUCUUCACCUUUCGAUUGCGAACGUCGGCGUUUCGUCUCUGGAGCAGUUCCCGAGGCUCCGGAGUCUUCAGAAAUUGAACCUCUCCGACAACAGGAUCGCCGGAGGACUCGAGUUUUUGGUUCAGGCAGGCCUCGAUUCGCUUCGAGACCUCGAUCUAUCGAACAAUCGAAUUCAGUAUAUCGAGGAUCUCGCGCCGCUUGCGCAGUUGAAGCUUGUUUCGUUGGAUCUGUAUGAGUGUCCUGUUACACGUGUUAAGGAUUAUCGAUCUAGGGUUUUUGGUUUGAUUAAGUCUGUGAAGUAUUUGGAUAAGAUGGAUGCGGAAGAGAAUGAGAGACCGGAGUCUGAUGAUGAGGAGGAAGAAGAGGAGGAUGAAGAGGAAGAGGAAGUAGAGGAAGAUCCAGGGAGUGGUGAGGUUGAUGGCGAAGAGGAUCGACCUUUUGGGAUGAUGAAUGGACACAGUGAAGGUGCUGAUGGAGUUGUUGAUGCUGAUGAGGAAGAGGAGAGUGAUGCGGAUGAGGAGGUGACGGAAACUUCGAGAGGGAGAGUGAAUGGGUUCAACCAUCAGGAGAAUGGGUUUCAUGUUGCUCCUGUUGUAGGUGGUGAUUUGGAGGACGAGGAGGAGGAUGAGGAUUCUGGGGAGGAGAUUGAUGAAGAAGAGGGUGAUGAGGACGACGAUGAUGUUGUUGAGGUUCAUGAGAUUGAGGAUAGUGAUGAUGAAGAGGAUGUAGUUGAGUUUGAUGAGGAUGAGGACGAUGAUGAGGAUGAUGAUGAGGAGGAGGAAGAGGUGGAUAAUGAUGAAGGGGAUUUUGCUGAACCUGAGAGUACUUCUGGACGGUUGGUGAGUACUGAAGGGGAGAUUGAUGGACAUGAGCAGGGGGAGGAAGAUGGAGAUGAAGAUGACAAUGGGGAGACUGGCGAGGAUGAGAUGGGGGUAGAAGUAGAAGAUGAUGACGAUGAGGAUGAUGGAGAGUUUGAAGAUGACGAUGAAGAGGAAGAUUAUGGUGCUGGAUAUCUUGUUCAGCCAAUUGGACAGCCCGAGACUCGCAAUGGUGGGGGUGCUGACAUUGAUGAUGGGGAAAACCUGGAUGAUGAAGAGGAGGAAGAGGAGGAGGAAGUUGAUGAUGAUGACGAUGAUGUUCAGGAGGUGUUGCCCCCUGCCUCUUCAAACCCCAAGAGGAAGAGGGACAAUGAUGAUGAAGAAGAUGAUGAAGACGAUGAAGAUGAAGAAGCAUUCUCAAAGCCAUCCAAGAAGCAUCAUUGACAUUGACCAACACCAUUAUAAAUUAUGUCAUGUUCUUGUUCUGUGAUGGCUUCCAAGUAUUGGAAGCAGAGAAACCUCAGUUUAGAUGAAAAACAAUGGUGUGUGUUGACUUGUAAAGGAGCUGGGUGAUGAUGCUUGGAGGGAAGCAAAGGGUGCGAACCUUUUAAAAAUUUCCUCAAAACCUCUAGUUUAAUGAAGCACUUUUUGGCGGCAGAAAAAAGGAAAAGCUUUUGUAAAAAACACAUGUAGAUAUAGCAGUUCAUAUGAAAAUGAUUCCUAUCAAGCAAGUUGGGUGCCACUGUAAUGACGUGGCCAGUCUCUGUUAAAUUUAUUGAGCUUGAUGACAAUAUAUAUAUAUUUGAGGCGAAAAUAUUGGUCCCGUCGUAGUAGUCAAUUGCCAGGUAAUAAUGUACCAAUGGGCCCCUCGAUAUGUGUAUAAGCAAUUGUUUUACUAAUGUUUUACUAUAUCUAAUAAAAAAGGGAGGGAAAUUAUUUUCUUUUUUAUCUCCUCAGUAAGCAUCCAACAUCGCACUUCUCCAUCAAUCAUUCACAUCUUAAUUUUACAUCUCGCCACGUGGGUUUGUUGUGUUUUUCAUCUUCAAAUGGACGGAGCAAUUGUGAAAGUUCGCGUGAGCCACACGCUGUUUUUGUGCGAAGCAUUGACAUCAAGCCUAGCUGAGACAAGGUGUGGACUUCUUUCGAUUUAAUCCCAGUUCUUGUCCGAAAGCAUAUAUAUCUUGAGAUGGUACAACAACACAAAAAGCUGCCUAUAUUUAUCUAAAUGGCAUCAAAUGUAUACACACAAUUUUUUUGUAUAAAUUUAACUAAUUAAUAACAAUUUCGAUAAAAAAAAUUACGAUUAAUAACA